CAAAAGGCAGAGCUCUUCCUUUUGUUGAUGUUGGAAUUGAGCCACACAGACAUGUCCUUCCAUAAUUAUCUACCAGUUGCUUGCAGCUCAUGCUUUUUAACCACUAGCAUUGUGUGUUGCCCACACACCCUGCCAUGUGAGGCUGGAACAUGGUCUGGUAUGGACCCGGAGCUCAGCCCAUUUUGAAAUGGGAAGGUGCUUCGUAGAGCUGGACAUGUGGGAAAGCAGGGCUAAGAGUCCUGGGCCAGGCCAAUGCAGUGACUCAAGAAGAAGCUGAAGUGCUCCUCAGGCCUUGUGAACUGACCGAAGCAACUG
RNAcentral lists this long non-coding RNA (315 nucleotides) under Gallus gallus (chicken). Its description in RNAcentral is "lncRNA (ENSGALG00010025140.1)". The record is from RNAcentral. Lineage: Eukaryota; Metazoa; Chordata; Aves; Galliformes; Phasianidae.